UGAGCAUUUUGAGACCAUUGCAGAACACAGU
This 31-nucleotide non-coding RNA is filed under the name Rattus norvegicus (Norway rat). The record is from RNAcentral. Lineage: Eukaryota; Metazoa; Chordata; Mammalia; Rodentia; Muridae.